AGACAUGGAGCAAACUGUAAGAUUCCGCAUCCUAAUUGAUGAUCAAAUAAAAAAAGUUACACUCAGCAGUGGGGUACCCUCAACUGUGGCUGAGUUGGUUGCAGCAGUCAAGGAAAAUCUGUCCAUCCCCACAGAUAUAAGUCUUCAGUACAAAGAUGAAGAUUUUGGUGACUUCUUCACCGUAACAUCUACAAAUGAACUGAAAGAUAAAGACACACUUAAAGUUGUAUAUGCACCUAUAUGCUUAGAUUUGACAGUUGCUGACCAAGAAAGCAACUGUGAUGUAUCUGUGAUGUCCUCCUUUGACAGUGACAGUGCUAGUGGCUCACUGGAUUCCCAAGAUACUGUCAUUUUGAGUCAGUCCACCUUUGAAAGGCAGAACCCCUGGCCUGCUGUGUUUCCCAUUCCAACUUUUUCACACAACACUGAGCUUGCUUUGAAACAAGGCAAUGAGACAUAUUUAAAAGAGGGCACCCCGAUGACAUCACCUGGUUUCAGAUCUGACAUCCUUGAGCGUCUGGCAGAAGCAAUGUUUUCUUAUACUGCUUACCCUGAUGAUGCCCAAAGAAGUGCUGUAGCACAGGCACUAGUUGAGAAGCAUCCCUGCUUGAAGGAACCAGGGUCUUUUAAUGGAAUUUAUGGAUGGCAGCAAAGCCUGAAAUACAAAUGUGGAAACUACCGCACAAAACGUAGAGCACUGGGAAGUCCUGAACUCUUGAUCAACUCAUUGUCACAAAAGCCUGGUGAUGAGCAAGAAGUUGCUAAAAACAUCAAGAAAGCAAAGAGGGCAGAACUUAAUUACCUUCCUCCACAUCCACCUGGUGAAACAGACGACACUCUUGAGAAUAUGAGGCUUGAAAUAAUAACUGCCAGCAAGAGAAAAGACUGUGGCAAAGACAUAAACUACCUGAUGACCAGGACAUACAGCUUGAGAAGAAAAGAAGUGGUUUCUCAGUCCCCAAGGGUGACAAACUUUAUGGAAAGAUGGCCCGCUCUCUUCGAUACAUUUCAGAUAAAUGCAGAGUUCCAAAGGUGCACUGCUGUUCCUCUACAGUCUACAUUCAUGUCUCAGCUGGAUAAAUGUACUCCAAAGCUCCUGGAUUUGUUCAGUGCCAAGGGAGGAGCAGUUGGUCAGCGCAUCAAGAACUUAUUGAUGGAACUGAUACAGGACACAAAUGUCUCCACUGUGCAGAAGAGAGACGUAACUCUGAGAUGCCUCAUUGAGUACAUGGGAGAGAGUGGACAGGAACUCAUCUCGGACUACUAUGUAAGUAAAUUAUUAGGGCCAAGAUUGAAUCAAUCUGUUGCACAAACUGGAUUUGAUAAGUAAUAAAAAUAGGCUACCCUAGUUUUGCAUAGUUGUUUUAAUAAACAUCCACAAAGUAUAACCUCCAGGAUGAUUGAGCACUGAAAUUCAGCCGUUGCGCCUGAGCCUACGUAAGGGAAACACUGAUGUGUGCAAAUGCAUCUGUGUGUCUGCUCUGUUUUCACAAAUAUCCAGUGAGUUAUGGGGAGUCGCUGUUCAUGUUAACGAGCUCACUUUAACGUUGAUUGGUCAAAUAUACGAGCAAGUUAAGUUUACGUUUACAACAAAAUAAACAAGUUUACAAAUCGUUCAGUGAACUCUUUAGGCACAACAAUGCCAUGUUGUACUUGUUAACCUUUCCCUUCUCACCCCCAAAUUCCACUACCUCCGCUCCGCUGCGCUCCGCUCCGACACGAACGCCGGAGCAAAAUCGGUCCCGUUCUAGUCAAUCAGAGCAAUUCCACUACUGCGGCCGUGCGCCGCCCUCUGUUCCGGCGUCCGGCAAAAAUAGAAUCGAUCCUAUUUUCACCGGACGCCGGAGCACCUCCGCAGUCAAUGGACAGAAAUCACAAACACCCAACAGGAAAAGGAGCAAGCAGAAAUUCCGUUUUUCACAAUACAUCGAUAAACAAAAGGCGUUUUUUGUUUCAUAUGCACAGAUUUAACAACUUUUAACAACUAUCAGUGGCGGCUGAAGUUUAAAUGCACAAAAAUAAGCCAUAAAUACAGUUUCCACUAUCAAAGUAGUCACACUUUGUUGAUCCAAACACUGCUGAUCUCUCAACACAAAUGAUGGGCAGAUUAAACAGUUCAUGCCGAUGCUUCUCCCACACAACGGGUGUUUGGAUCUAACUUCCGCGUUUAUUGCUCGGACUGUAUCGCAAGAUCUCGAAAAUCCCGCGCAUGCUUGUUUGCCCACCUCAGGUCUCCGCACCGGAGCGGAGCCGUUGUAGAGCGGGUACCAGUAAAAAUUGAGUUCGGAAGCGAGCGGCUGCGGAAGCCGGGGGCGGACCGGAGCGGAGCGGAGGUAGUGGAAUUUGGGGGUUAGUCGUACAUUUGCAGGAUUUCCCCCAGCGCUUUAUAAGCCAGGCUUUGCUUGGCCACCCGACACGAACGGCACAACAAAACUAGAGCCCUCCAUCAUCUUAUACUGGUGAGAAACAGCAGCGGAACGUGUGCAGGGAACUCCAGCAACAAAGGAAGAACUCAGCACAUUACAGUCCUAAUAAAUUUAAUACAUAUUAGAGAAACAUUUUAACCAAAAAACUCAUCUAUAUUACUGACUGUUGAUGUUGAAUUACAGUUCAAAUUCCAUAGCCAUCAUCCCACACUGAUGAAAUUUAUCUCCGCAUUUGACCCAUCCCGAUGAAGGGGAGUGGUGAGCUGCAGCAGUGGCUGCGCUCGGUAACUAUUUGGUAGUUUAACUCCCCAAUCCAACCCAUUAAAGCUGAGUGUCAAGCUGGGAGGCAUUGGGUACCAUUUUUAAGAUCUUUGGUAUGACCUGACCAGGAAUCAAACCUCUAUCUCCAAGUUCCAGGGCAGACACUCCACUACUAGGCCAGGGGUCGGCAACUCGCGGCUCUGGAGCCGCAUACGUCUCUUUCAUCCAUCUGAUGCGGCUCUCUGCUUGUAAAAUAAUUAAUGAAUAUUUAAUUACAAUGUAUUUUAUUUUACUGCAUUCAUUUUUUAUCUGUAGCCAAUUCUAAAUGUAAAGAUUGUCUAUGUAAACCAAGCCCCCACAAUGCCGCUCAGAAAAUGGUCCCAACCCGGAAGUAAGAAAAAUUGCAGUUCCACCCUCAUCCGCUGGGGGCUGGUACCAGAAGCGAGCAAAUCCUCAUUGACCCCCAUGUUAAAAAUGCCAUUUUCACAGCAGAAAUAAACAUGUUUACAGCCUGGUUCAAAAAAUGGUUUUUUGUCUAAAUUAUCUAGUUUAUACUCAUGACAACUCUGAGGGGGGUGAAUUUUUUUCUCACUCUUCUGUUUAAGUGUAUUGAAAGCCUAAAAUUCUGUAUAAUUAAUGAACAUCCGACACACGUGACCGCCGCCUCAGACCCACGUGACCACAUAGCUAGCUCCGUGGAAAGGCCUCAGUACAGCCUCGGUCUCUCCUGGAAACUGUGUCGGGAUUUUGAGUCUCUGUGCUUGUGAAUUCUGUUUUGGAUAAUAUUGGUGCAAUUGUUGGACAAAAUGACUUGCUGUGGUAUUAAUUGCACUAAUAGAGCGUCCAAGGAGUCUCCACUUCAUUUUUUUCGGGAAGGACCUGAUUGGUGUCCAGAACCUGCUGAAGAAGCACCAGGCUCUGCAGGCUGAGAUCACAGGUCAUGAACCUCGCAUCAAGGCUGUCACCCAGAAAGGAGAGACCAUGGUGGAAGAAGGUAGAGCAGGUCUGGUCCUGACAUGUUUCUGAGGUGUCUGCAGGUUCUGGCUCACUUUGUUUGGGUCCAGGUCACUUCGCUGGUUCAGAACCCUCGGCCCAUCAGAACAUUCUUAUCCACCACGUUCUAACACCAGACCUGUUAACCCGACAGCAACAAGUGGCUCCAACUGACGAUGAGACCGGGAAGGAGCUGGUUCUGGCUCUGUACGACUACCAGGAGAAGAGUCCUGGAGAGGUCACCAUGAAGAAGGGCGACAUCCUCACGCUGCUCAACAGCACCAACAAGGUUGUUUUACUUGAACUCGCGUCUUUAGCUGAAUGAGGAUGGAGAGACGGGUCGGACCUGGAGCAGGUCGAGGUCUUGCAGAAGAAGUUUGACGACUUCCAGAAGGACCUGAAGGCCAACGAGUCCCGCCUGAGGGACAUCAACAAGGUGGCAUCUGAACUGGAGUCAGAAGGUCUGAUGGCUGAGGAGGCUCCUAUGGUUCAGGCUCAGCAACAAGAACAUCUGGGUUCUGCUCCUGGAAAGGAUGAAGCCGACUCUGACCCCGGCUUUCCACAGGAGUCGUCAGCAGCACGUUACUGCAGCAGCACGUCAUAGCUGCUGAUAGGAACCGCUGUGGUCAACAGAACCUUUUCCACCGGAGCCGUCAGCAGCGCGAGUCGGCCACGUCUCAGGAGCAGCAUGUCGCGGGAAGGGCCGAGCAGCAGCUUACGCGAGCAAGACAAGCUGCUGCAGUAACGUGCUGCUGACGGCUCCCGUGGAAACCCGGGGUUAGACGGCGUCACCCUAGAAGGUGAGUUCAUUCAGCUGAUCAGAGGUCACCUCUGAUGGCCGCAGUCACGGCCGACCGUGCUGAAAUCACACAGGAAUUCAGGUGACCCGGCAGGCACCAGGUGCUGGUGAAAGUGGGGACAUGUCAGCUGGUUGCCAUGGCUACAGUUAUCUUUAUGCAUCUGUAUGACUGCUGACUGGUGUGUGUUUCCUGUGACCUUUGACCUCAGACCGUACGGUUGGGCGUUCAGACGACGGCUAACUUUAAUUCCAUCAAGGAGCUGAACAACCGCUGGCGCUCGCUGCAACAUGCUGGGCAGCGCCCAUGAGGUGUAGCGCUUCCACAGAGACGCUGAUGAGACCAAAGAGUGGAUCGAGGAGAAGAACCAGGCCCUGAACACAGACAACUACGGCCACCACCUAGCCAGCGUUCAGGCUCUGCAGCGUGAACAUGAAGGCUUUGAGCGUGACCUGGCAGCUCUGGGUGAUAAGGUCCGCUUUCCUGAUUGGUACCAGGACCCGAGUUGUCUCUGGAGACACAUUCUUCAUGGUUCUGGUGACUACACCCCAGCUGUUCCUGAUCAGCGAUCAGCGGGGUGCUUUCCUAUUUAAGGUGGAUGGAGGACACAAUUUGACGCCAGAAGAUUGCCUCAGUUUUGGAUUCCUGUCGACCUCAUUGGAUACUGACCUCUACUCCAGGAUUUGGAUAUUCAACACACGGACCUUAUCACCACCCUCCAUAACCCACCUCUCAUCUCACCCAGUGCCCCAUCCACCAGGACGCCCCGCUUCUCUCCACCUCUGCUCCCUCUCCUGCGCUUCCUCUCUACCUCUCCCUCCUCCAGCCAACACAUACACCCACCACAACGCUGAGCUGUUGUUGCAGUUCCAACCACAGACUUAUCUGUGCACCUUAAGUUCCUCCUUAUAAAUAAAUCAUUUUUUCCAUCAGUUUUUGGUCAGUGGUGUAUUCUGCAUGUCUUGGGUUAAGUACCUUCCUCCAAACAUGACACUCCUCUUCAAAGAGCAAAUCUGUUCAGCACAUUCUGACAGACAGACCACCAUUCUUCUGUCAUGAUGCUGUACAGGACAUUUUUAGAGUUUUUCUUUUUAAAGAUAAAUAGGAUUACAUUUAAAUAGCAAUACUUUCACAUUAUCAUUUUCCCACACUUCUGUAUAACUGUAUUUUGUUGUUUUUCAAUAAAGAAUGACAAAUUA
This is a non-coding RNA of Nothobranchius furzeri (turquoise killifish), 5676 nucleotides long. The record is from RefSeq and is a predicted model, not a curated record. Lineage: Eukaryota; Metazoa; Chordata; Actinopteri; Cyprinodontiformes; Nothobranchiidae.